AAUAAGAUGCCUGAAAAAGGAUUAUUUUGAUAGAAUAAAUCAUGUACUUUGUACUCUUAUUA
This 62-nucleotide transfer RNA is filed under the name Cladiscus yunnanus. RNAcentral describes it as "tRNA-Ile". Lineage: Eukaryota; Metazoa; Arthropoda; Insecta; Coleoptera; Cleridae. The record is from RNAcentral.